This 1489-nucleotide ribosomal RNA is filed under the name Lactiplantibacillus plantarum. RNAcentral's name for it is "bacterial SSU rRNA". It matches the Rfam family "Bacterial small subunit ribosomal RNA". Lineage: Bacteria; Bacillati; Bacillota; Bacilli; Lactobacillales; Lactobacillaceae. The record is from RNAcentral.
GACGAACGCUGGCGGCGUGCCUAAUACAUGCAAGUCGAACGAACUCUGGUAUUGAUUGGUGCUUGCAUCAUGAUUUACAUUUGAGUGAGUGGCGAACUGGUGAGUAACACGUGGGAAACCUGCCCAGAAGCGGGGGAUAACACCUGGAAACAGAUGCUAAUACCGCAUAACAACUUGGACCGCAUGGUCCGAGUUUGAAAGAUGGCUUCGGCUAUCACUUUUGGAUGGUCCCGCGGCGUAUUAGCUAGAUGGUGAGGUAACGGCUCACCAUGGCAAUGAUACGUAGCCGACCUGAGAGGGUAAUCGGCCACAUUGGGACUGAGACACGGCCCAAACUCCUACGGGAGGCAGCAGUAGGGAAUCUUUCACAAUGGACGAAAGUCUGAUGGAGCAACGCCGCGUGAGUGAAGAAGGGUUUCGGCUCGUAAAACUCUGUUGUUAAAGAAGAACAUAUCUGAGAGUAACUGUUCAGGUAUUGACGGUAUUUAACCAGAAAGCCACGGCUAACUACGUGCCAGCAGCCGCGGUAAUACGUAGGUGGCAAGCGUUGUCCGGAUUUAUUGGGCGUAAAGCGAGCGCAGGCGGUUUUUUAAGUCUGAUGUGAAAGCCUUCGGCUCAACCGAAGAAGUGCAUCGGAAACUGGGAAACUUGAGUGCAGAAGAGGACAGUGGAACUCCAUGUGUAGCGGUGAAAUGCGUAGAUAUAUGGAAGAACACCAGUGGCGAAGGCGGCUGUCUGGUCUGUAACUGACGCUGAGGCUCGAAAGUAUGGGUAGCAAACAGGAUUAGAUACCCUGGUAGUCCAUACCGUAAACGAUGAAUGCUAAGUGUUGGAGGGUUUCCGCCCUUCAGUGCUGCAGCUAACGCAUUAAGCAUUCCGCCUGGGGAGUACGGCCGCAAGGCUGAAACUCAAAGGAAUUGACGGGGGCCCGCACAAGCGGUGGAGCAUGUGGUUUAAUUCGAAGCUACGCGAAGAACCUUACCAGGUCUUGACAUACUAUGCAAAUCUAAGAGAUUAGACGUUCCCUUCGGGGACAUGGAUACAGGUGGUGCAUGGUUGUCGUCAGCUCGUGUCGUGAGAUGUUGGGUUAAGUCCCGCAACGAGCGCAACCCUUAUUAUCAGUUGCCAGCAUUAAGUUGGGCACUCUGGUGAGACUGCCGGUGACGAACCGGAGGAAGGUGGGGAUGACGUCAAAUCAUCAUGCCCCUUAUGACCUGGGCUACACACGUGCUACAAUGGAUGGUACAACGAGUUGCGAACUCGCGAGAGUAAGCUAAUCUCUUAAAGCCAUUCUCAGUUCGGAUUGUAGGCUGCAACUCGCCUACAUGAAGUCGGAAUCGCUAGUAAUCGCGGAUCAGCAUGCCGCGGUGAAUACGUUCCCGGGCCUUGUACACACCGCCCGUCACACCAUGAGAGUUUGUAACACCCAAAGUCGGUGGGGUAACCUUUUAGGAACCAGCCGCCUAAGGUGGGACAGAUGAUUAGGGUG